GGUGCUGAUCGCGGUUUCCCUGGUGGCACCGCUGGCUGAGGCGGGAAUCACAUGCGGCACGGUUGUGAGUAGCCUGAGACCAUGCCUCCGCUAUGUGCAGGGUAGCAGUCCUACAGUGCCGGAUGGCUGCUGCAGUGGAAUUAAUUCUCUCUACAACUCAGCCAAAACCACUCCGGACCGUCAGUCUGUGUGCUCCUGCCUGAAAUCUCUCGCUGGAUCUUACAAGGGUAUCGACUAUGGCAAGGCCGGUGGCCUCCCUGGAAAAUGUGGUGUCAAUAUCCCCUACAAGAUCGCCCCUUCCACUGAUUGCUCCAAGUAUUUUUCUCUCUUCUUAUAUUUAAGUUCAACCAUUUCAUUUAAAAAACUUAAAAUUUUUAAUUCAUACUUGUUACAUUACAUGGUACUUGACACAACUUCACAGUAAUAUAAAUAAGAUUUUAACUUCUUUUUCUUAUUUAAUAAAUUCAAAUAUUGAUGUUCAACCAAAAAAAUAAAAAAAUAAAAAAAAAUUAAGAGAAAAAUAACUUCAAGUUCUGUCUAACUAGACAAUUAUUUAUUUGUAAACAUGUUUCUUUCAAAUUUAGCUUAAAAUGUUUAUUCGUGUUAUGGGACUUGUGGUGCAGGGUGCAGUAAUUUCAUCGCGAAUGCAGUUUUCUGCAGCAGCUUAUAUAUGAUAUGUACGUUUAUGAACUAUAUGAAUGAAUAAAGAGAGUUUUUGUAUUGUCUGCAGAAUGGACUCUCUUUCUGCAUUAUUAAUCCGAUUAUGAGUAUUUUAUCUCAAUUUAGAUAUCCCUUGUUUUCAUCAAAUAAAAUUCCACCAUCCUAAAGCUAAUAUCGAUGAAGACCUAGUAAAAUUUACGUGGUGCAUUGUGAAAUGAUUUAAAAUUACUAAGAACUUGGUCAGAGACCUCAAGACCAAUGGCGGAGUCACAGGUGCUUGAAUACCAUAUAUGAUACAUAGCAUUAUACUUAUGGAGCCAAUACAUUCUUAUUGAGAAAAUACAACAUUUUCGAAGCAUAAAAAUAGAACUCACCCGUCACUAUUUAAUUUACGUGUGUAUGUUUGAGUUACAAUUAAAGAGUGAUUAUCAGUUAUUUAAUAUACAUAUGGAUUAAAUAGUGACAGUGAGUAUUGAAUACUCCGUGCUCUUGAUCGUAUACAAAAAUGUGAUAAAUGGACCUUCUAAGAGUUGUACACAUGUGAAAUAAAACAAAAUUAGAAAACAACCAACUAAUUAGUAUUCAAAAAAAAAAAAAAGAAGAAGAAGAAAAAAGAAGGCAUAAUCCGUUUACCAGAUUAAAAAGGAAUUUUGAGAUAUCAACCUUAUUAAUAAAACUAGUUCAAAUCCUUUCCCUUAGUAUCCUCCGUCAAGCCACACUUCUUAUUGGUGCACUCACUAAUUAUAGGGUUGAUUGAAAUCCAAGCACCAUGGAAAGGUAAGACUAAAGUCACACGAGCUCAAUAUCAUAUAUAACCCAACUAAAUUAAUUGAUGUGAUAUAAUCUUUAAUCGAUGAGAGAUUUUGACUUAAUAAUCUUUACAUUCUGUCAUGAACGAAUAUAACAUCUCAUAUCAUAUCUUGAGUGACAUAGCAUGGCUUAAGUCACAAAUUUGAACUGUGCUAUUAUCAAAAUGUUAUACUUGAAUAGUUUUAAUUCAUAUUUCAAUUUUCUAUUUUAAUAAAAAUUCUUAGGUUAGAACCAUAUUGGCCAUAGAUCCCAUUCAAUAUUGUGUACCAAUUAUAUCAUUUUUUAAAGGCCAAUUGGAUUUGUGAAAGUCUUCAUUCAGACAAGUAUUUGAACCCAGUUACAGUCACUUGGGUCAGGCAAAUGGCAUCAUUAUUUGGGUGCGUUUGAAUAGUACAUUGAACUUAACAUAUAUAAUUAUAAUUAGAUAGGGUAAGUGACAAAUUUUUUAUGCUUAUGUAGCCUAACGGGAUCUUGCAAACUGUCCACAAGUUUUGCGUAGAUAAGCUCAUGAGGCACAUAGACAAAUCUUCACCUUGAGAAAGUUGUGGGCAAUAUUUGAGUUUAGGCCGUGCCUUAAAGUAUGUUUAUAGGGCAGCACCUAAUAAAUUAGAUUAAAAUUUAAUGCAUUCUCUCUCUCCUCAUUUUAAUAACAUUUUUCAAUAAAAUAAUAUUCACGUAAACUCAAAAAUUUUCUUUCUUUUUUAAACACACAUUCUUAAAAAGAAAAAAAGAAAAAAAGAACUAUGCCAAAGUACUUAUCCCCAUAAACUCGAGAAAUACCUGAUUAUGGUAUCACUGUCUUAUAAGGAGCUGCCGCAUCAUUGAAUGACCCAAUCCCUCUUUACACCUCGGGUUUUGAGAUGAUCCCAUCUUAUUAGGUGAGACAAUGCCGUCGAUGAGAUGGCAGCUUCUCAUAGGACAGUUGCACCAAUAUGACCGUCCUACCCUAGUAGUUCUCCAUAAACUCAUUGUAAUGGAUCCCCAAAUAGGGCUUAAUCAUGCAGCGGUGCAUUCAUACUAUGUGUGCACACUUGUCUUGAAAACAUUCUACCGUUAUAGCUGGUGGAAAAUGAAAUGGAUUUUGCAACUUUGACAGAAAAAUGUAACAGAUGUAGUGAUAUAAUCCCAAUUGGCAACAGAUGAUUUGUUGGGGAUGUUGACUGAGCUUAAAACAAUCCAAUGAUGAGAUGUCAUGUGACAUUAUAUUAAGAAUUGUGUUAACUAUUAGCACGAUUGGAGUGAAAUUGUGGCCACUUUUACAUUUUGUUUGAAAAUUGGUACGAAUUCUUGAAAUGGCCAGCAUUAAAUUGAACCCAACUAUAACACCCACGCCCUGAACCAAUCAGAAAUUGUGUCAGAGGCCUCCCCCAACACUUGGGGAUAUCCUCUAUAUAAACACAACAAUGGCAAGGUUUUAUCCACACAAAUCAAAUUGUUCCCAAGUGCUGGAAAGAAAUUAAUACACUUGAUUUGCCUGGUGUUAUAAACCAGAUAAGUUUUCAUCUGCAAUUGCGUCUUCAAUUGUUAAGGCAACAUGCUUGGUCCUAAUCGCGGCGGUCCUCAUGGCGCCACUCUCUGAGGCUUAGAGCCGAUGUAGUAAAUGGCUUCGUAUAGGGAGAAAGCAGGGUAGUAGCAAUGCGCAAUGUGUUCCCGGCCCGCUGCAGUGCCCGAGCCGCCGGUCUUUCUGGAAAAUGUUUCGGCAUAUCUGAUAUAAUAUCUUCCCUUCCACUGACUGCUCAAAGUAAAUACAUAUAUCUUUUUUCUACGUUUCUUCACAAGUUCGUUUCACAUUUAGCUUUGAAAAGCUGUAAUUAUACUUCGAGUCUUGUGUUGCAGGGUUCAGUAAAUUCAUCGAUGGAGCGGAUUUUCCUGUAGCGCCCUAUAUAUCAUGUACGAUAUAUAUGUUUAUAUACUAUAUGAAUGAAUAAGGAUACUUAGAAUAGAGGGAAAACCUGGGGUUUUUCUUUGCGCUGUAAUUUUACAUUAUUGUCUGUAAUCCAAUUAAUUACGAUUAUGCAUUAUAAUUUGGUUCUAGCGUUCACUAUAAACCAUUUGUUACAUUCUUGUACCAAGUUGUGGAGUAAAAUUAUUGCGGUUGUAUGAGAAUAUAAUUUCAUAUUGAGACGAACUUUUAAAAAGUUUGCAUGUUCUUGUGUCUAUUUUGUUAUUGCAAUUUUAUUAUUCUUGGAGGUAUAAAAUUAGAUUUUCUAAUUCUCAACGUACUAACCGUUUCAUUAUGUGUUGCCCCUACAAAUGGGUACCUCUAAUGAAGAUGAAUAAAAACUAUUGAUUUCUUUAGAGCANNNNNNNNNNNNNNNNNNNNNNNNNNNNNNNNNNNNNNNNNNNNNNNNNNNNNNNNNNNNNNNNNNNNNNNNNNNNNNNNNNNNNNNNNNNNNNNNNNNNNNNNNNNNNNNNNNNNNNNNNNNNNNNNNNNNNNNNNNNNNNNNNNNNNNNNNNNNNNNNNNNNNNNNNNNNNNNNNNNNNNNNNNNNNNNNNNNNNNNNNNNNNNNNNNNNNNNNNNNNNNNNNNNNNNNNNNNNNNNNNNNNNNNNNNNNNNNNNNNNNNNNNNNNNNNNNNNNNNNNNNNNNNNNNNNNNNNNNNNNNNNNNNNNNNNNNNNNNNNNNNNNNNNNNNNNNNNNNNNNNNNNNNNNNNNNNNNNNNNNNNNNNNNNNNNNNNNNNNNNNNNNNNNNNNNNNNNNNNNNNNNNNNNNNNNNNNNNNNNNNNNNNNNNNNNNNNNNNNNNNNNNNNNNNNNNNNNNNNNNNNNNNNNNNNNNNNNNNNNNNNNNNNNNNNNNNNNNNNNNNNNNNNNNNNNNNNNNNNNNNNNNNNNNNNNNNNNNNNNNNNNNNNNNNNNNNNNNNNNNNNNNNNNNNNNNNNNNNNNNNNNNNNNNNNNNNNNNNNNNNNNNNNNNNNNNNNNNNNNNNNNNNNNNNNNNNAAGAAAUUAAAAAACUUGAUCUCCCUUUUAUGAAAACAAAUAUUAUCUUCUGCAUUGGCUUCCGCUGGAAUUGGGAAGGCAAUAUUUGUGGUGCUGAUCGCGGUGGCUGCACUAACCAAUCUCGUGCUGCUUGGCUUUGAAUAGCCUAAGACUAUGCCUCCCCAAUAUGCAGGGUGGCGAACGGUGCUGGCCGCUACCAUGCAGUGAUUAAGUCUAUGUUUGAUUUUGUUAAAAAUUAAAUUUUUAGUCGAUAUUGACAAAAAUUAUGAUAAACUGAAAUUAAUUAUAAUUUAAUAGUUAAAAUAUGUGUCGAAAUAUAUUUAAAAUAAGACAUAAAUAUAUAUGUUACUGAAUUGUAAAUUUGGACUUGAGCGCGUUUGGAGUCACUUAUUUUUUAUCCAUUAAUUCCAUAGAAUUCAUAAUGUACAAUCACUGAAAUUUUAAUUUAGUCACUAACCAAACAUGUUAAUUACUAGGAAACCCACGUUUUGUCCCCUAUGUAGUGAGGCUUCUAUUUUUGUUUCUGAUUUUUAUAAUUUUUAUAGAAUAGUUUUUUGAAAAAGUUAUCUUAAGUCAACUCCCUCUAAAAACUCUCCUAGCUAACCAAGACAUUUGAAAAAAUAUAUAUAUUCAAACAAUUUCAAAAUCAAUUUCUUAAUCUCAGAAACAUUUUUUUACUUUUCAUAGUCUAUAUUUGAGUCAUGUUUAUAAACUACUAAGAAACACUCAAAUUAUUUUUAUUUAUACAUUUAGAGAAAUUCCCAAGUGCUACUAAUCCACUAUUCAUUUGUAUUUAUAUAGUUUAAAUCGUUUAUAAACACAUCUCAAACAUACUUCUUUGUAGAUAGAGAUAUGUGCCAAUUAAAAGACAGGCUUGUCGGGUGAUUACUGGUCUAAAAUAUAUUAUAUUAUAUUUUUUCUUUGUUUAAUUAAUUUCGAAUCCAAAGACUCAUGGCUCGUAAUGUUUUUUCACCAACUCCUGGCUCAUAGAUUGUACCAAAUUAAAAUUAUAGGCUUAAAAACCGAAUUAAGAAAGAGACGUGUGCCAAAAAUAAAAAUGUAAAGGAAAAUAGCUUACUUGUAUCUAACAAUCACUACAACAAAAAUACCUUUUUGCAACAUGCAAAAGACAACAUUCACCAAUUAAAUGUUGCUAAAAGGGUCUAUUGCAACAUUUUAAUAAGUGAAUGUUGCCAUUAGUGUUAACAAUUGAGAUUUGACAAUAUUUUUAAGUGAAUGUUGAUAAUAUUUCCUUUUUGCAACGUUUAUUUAGUGUUGCGAAAAGCUUUAUUUUUCGCAACAUUUAUAAAACGUUGUAAAAAGGUUUCUUUUUUCGCAAUGUUCGUAAAACUUGCAAAAACAUUUAUCUUUCACAAUGUUCGUAAAACGUUACAAAAGGCUAUCUCUUUCGCAACAUUUAUAAAAUGUUGCAAAAAUGUUUCUCUUUCUCAACGUCUUCAAAACAUUGCAAAAAGUUUUCUCUUUCGCAACGUUUAUAAAAUAUUGCCAAAAGAUUUCUCUUCAACAACAUUUAAAAAACGUGGCAGAAGGCUCCCCAACCUAGGUCCCAUUUUUUUUUUUUUUUGUGGUAAUUACACAAAUCCAUAGUUUAUCUAUUCAUAGUUCCCAAAUAAGAGUGAAAGUUUAAUAUUUCACUAAUCAGAUUUUUUUUUUCAUUUCCUAAUUAAUUUAAAAUUAUUUAAUAACUGUCUCUCCCUAAAGUCACGUAAUUCAAAUUUUAGAAACUGUAUUUUUUUUUUAAAAACUCCUUACAUGUCCUUUCCAUAAAAUCGUCAUUUCCAUAAAACCCACGUCCCUCACGUAUCCCAUUUUUCGAUUAAAUCGGUGUUCAUCCAACCCUUUUUGGGACAUUCAUCACUGUCGUUCUCCGGCGAUUCCCGACGACCUUCUUCCACUGUCGACCACAUAUAUUUUUUACAUUCCUUCCCAGAAAAGUGGUCACAGUUUAACCGAAGUCUUCUAAAACUUCAAGGAUGACUCGUUCAGGAAGUGGGAAACGUGGGGAGAAAAUUGGAAUCCACGAGUCAGGAAGAAGAGGUAAAAGAAAGUUGGAUGAAGUGCAGAAGGAAUCAUCCUCUAAAAGACACAAAUCCAGAAGUUCGAUCGCAAAACAGUCGACGAAGGUGGUUUUUGAUAUUUUUCAAUUGUUCACUUAUUUUGAGCACACCUAUGUUCAUUUUAAUCGAUGGGUAAUGUGUAUGGAUGAAGUAUUUUGAAUUUGUAAUGUAUAUUGCAUUGAAUUUGUUUUGUGGAUUUGUAAUCGAAAUGUCUGAUUGUAGUAAGGGUUUUUAAUAUUUUUUUCAAAAGUGGUUGUUCAUUUGUGAAUUAUGGAAUGCUAUUGUGUCGUUAUGUAUGUGUGUUGUUGAUUUCUUUUUUGGUGGAGGGGAUCUGUGACCUAUAUGUUGAUGUUUGUGUCUACCUGGAUUCCCACCUGUGACCAAACUGAUGAGUUUUAUUGUGAUCGAUGUUGCAGGCCUGGAGAUACAUUAUACCCGAGAAUAGUUGGUUUCUGGGUAAAAUUACAAUUACCCCCUCAAAGGUGUGGUGUCGAACUUCAAAAACAAUCUCAAUGAAGCCCAACGUCGAAUCCUUCAGAAUACGUGUUUUUCCCACUUUCUACAAUACGAGAAAAUUGUUAUCCAAUCUCAGCUGAUACACUACUUUCUGUUGAGACAAGUGCAACAACCUAAUGAGAGUGAGUUGUGGUUCAACAUAGCUGGAAGAUUCGUACGGUUCUCAAUUUCAGAAUUUUGUUUGGUGGCUGGUCUAAGAUACGUCGGCGAUGCUGACAUAAGUAGGAUGGAGAAGACUCAAUCACGAUUGAAAAAUUUGUAUUUUUCAACGUUGAAAAAUGUCACUCAUGAAAAUAUCAAGUACGCAUUUCUUGGUUCUACUGACAUUCCGAAUGAUGAUGUUUCCAUGCUAGGUGCAUUGUAUUUUAUAACGUCUUAUCUACAUUCGAGAGACUACAAGAGGGCUAUGGAUGACUUCUUAUUUGUACUAGUUGAAGAUUUUAGUGAGAUGAAUGUGUUUCCAUAGGGUAAGUCGUUGUUCGACAAAUUAGUAAAUUCAUUGAGGGAGGGGUUGAGUAAGAGAUCAACACAUUACAGACUCAGAGGCUUGCUUGUAGCCUUUCAAGUGUGGAUUUACGAGACAAUUCCCAGUCUCGAUGGAUACAUGACGAGAAGAUUUCCAAAGUGUACCCCAGGAUAAUGAACUGGCGGCUGAUGAUCACCUUUCGACUGCGAAGCUCGAGGGACCUAAAUCCGGACGUAAGUGACCACUGAUGCAGCAGUACUGGUUUCAGAAUAUUAAACUGGCACAUUUUUUCAUGUUCCAGAUCAUAUUUCUUAGGUCACAAAUAUAUUUCGUCAAGUCACAAAUUGCAUUCUCGAAGUCACAGAUUUAUUCAUUAUGUCACACGCUUUCAGUAUAGGUAACAGACAUUUUCACGGUGCCAUCUGCCCUUGUUAUAUCACAAUUAAUGGAAACAAAUUGAAUAUGUGUGAUGUGCAAAAUUAUAUCUGUUUGUUCAUACAUAAUUUUUGGUCGUUGAUAUUGCACUUUUUGUUGUGAUAUGAAUGGCAGUUGGAAAUAUGUGACCUGGACCCCCCACCAGCUGAAAUGGCAAUGCCAUACAUGAGUCAGGUGCAGUAUGAGAAACCUAUCCUACCCGGUCAAUCACAUGGGGAGAAGAGAAAUGGUGGUAGCAUACACCGAUCAGAUCAUCGUGCUGGGACUAGUACAAAACCGAGUAAUUCAGGAAUGAAACUAUCUACUCCCAUGCUUUUGAUAACUGAUGGACAAUUAGGACACUGAUCUCUCCAUUGAUGAUGAUGACUUUGUUAAAGCACCAUCCAGUUGGAAGGGGACAUCAAUCCAUGAAAAUUCUCCAAGUGGGGAGCGUAAGUCAGAUGACACCAUUGAUUCAGAGGAAGCUCUUCCAAUUUCAUCUAUCAUGUCACAAGUCCAUUAGGUCACAUAAAAAUUCAGGUCACAUAUUCAGGUCAUAGGUUUCAGUUAUUAGGUCAUAUACCAAUACUCGUUUCAGUUAUUAGGUCAAUGUUAUAUUUCAUCAUCAUAAGUUACCUGAUUAUAGGUAUUCAUGUGAUGCAGGUGGUCAACGAAUUGAGGAAUUAUUUUAAAGGACAGAUAUCUGAUCUACAGUCUGAGAAUCGAUUGCUAAGCAUCAUCUUUAAAGUCAGAUCAGCAAAGGAAACUAAAGCGGCUAGUUCCCAUGCAAGGUGAAAUUCGUACUGACAUGUUGGACGUCAAAGCACACAUACAGUGUAUGUCUGAUUCCGUGACUACUUUGAUAUCUAGUUCAAUCGAAGAAAUUAUGAAAAAAAUCAGAGAGAACGCAGGACCAGAAACUGCUGUAGGAUCUGGACCAACAUGCGAAGUCAGUACCCCAAUUGUGACUGUUUCUUAUUUGUCUGUUACCACAAACCAUUUGAUAUACACUUCUCAUCAAAUGCAUUUUUGUUCUGAUUUUCAGGCUGCAAAAGUCGAACAAAGUGUUGAUUCGAAAGGCAAAGCGAAGGUUGACUCUGUGUGUGCAGUUGAGUUUCCAUGUUCUAUUGAACCUCCAUCUUUUGAUCUUGGUCUUGGAUUCACACAACCAAGCCAGAUUGUUGCAAAAACAUAUAAGGAAGUUGAAGUGUAAGUGGAAUUGGUCAUAUCCAAUGUUUUGAAGGACACGAAAUGUAUUGAGCAAGAGGUAUAAAAAAAUCUAUGUAUUUGUUGAUUAAUGCAUGUCACAUAUUAAAAAAUACAUUUUAUUACGCAACACUCACCUGAGGCAGCACCAAGUCCUGGAUUGCCAGUGAAGAGGGCUCCAAAGCCAGCUAAAACACUUCAGUCCCCUUAUGUUGCCGAUGAAAUGAAACAAAUAAAAUCGUCAGGAAAUAUAGUGGUCUUCGAACAUUACAAUCAGAAUGUACAAGAUGUAGAUGUUGCUGACUUUCAAAAUUAGUUUCAAAGAGGAUACAAACCACAUAACAAGUACGAAAUUGUUGUCCUAUUUUCAUAAUUUUCAAAUAAUGAUCAGUACUUCUCGUUUGCAGGAAGAAGUUCAAUGAUAAAGAUGAUGCUAUCCAUCCACCUUUUUCCAUCGAUCAGUACUUGGUGGGAAACAAGACAUGGUGGUACGAACUUGUAUCCAGGGAGGUGUCGUUGACUAGUUCGGUAAGUUACUACACAAAAGUAACAGUUCUAAAGGGUAUGUCACAGUACAGGUCACAUUAGUCACAGUUUUUUGUAUACUAGUCACAUAGAGCAUGGAUCAUAGAUCACAGAUCACACGAGUAGUAGGUCACAGAUGAUGCAUGGGUCACAGAUCACGCAAACAGUAGGUCACAGCUAAUGCCUGAGUCACAAAUCACAUGAACAGUAGGUCACAAUCCGCGCUACACAGAAAAAUACAUAUCUGCAGGUGCAACAGUAUAGCUCGCAUGUAUUUAUUACGUCCGGGUUCAGUUAUUGAAUGGUCAUUAACUAUAGGUUGUAGUGAUCACACAUUCUAACCGAGUCACACAUCAAAUUGACAGCUUAUUGCAUCAUGUUUUCUGGUGUAUAUAUGGUUUCUUAAUUGUUUAUUGUACUUUCAUCUCUGUAGCAUAUGGACGUGUGCUUCUAUUGCAUACAUCAACUGGCAAGAAGUGCGAGAGAUCUCAAGUUUGUAGCUACCACAACGGACUAGUUGUUCCAGGCCAAGCUCAAGCACAUGUAUUCUAGGUUCAAGGAUGAUGCAAAUGUUCUUUUCACGGAUGAUAGACUGAUUGACGAUAUUAUUGGUGCACGAAUUCCAUUGAGCACUCCAUGGGCUGAAGUCGACCUUGUGUUUAUCCCACUUCUGCCUACCAACAAAGCACAUUGGAUGCUUGGAGUGUUGGACAUAAAGGCACAUACGUUGCAUUUAUUGAAUUCGUCCAGGAAGACAUACAAUGUUAUCAAAGUCCGUACUGGAAUUGAACCCUUUGUCAGCAUGCUUUCGAAUCUCAUGAAAUGUGUUGGAAUAUGGAAAAAAGAUUCCAUAGAGUUGAAUGUGGAUUUUGAUUUUUCUCUUUCCCAACAGAAAAAUUGGUAAGUUUUUUUUUCCCUCCACUAACAGUUAAACAUAUUAUAACAUGCUGGAUUUCAUAACUAACAGUCUGAUUUUUGCGUUCCUAGACAUGAUUGUGUCAUUUAUGUGGUCAAGUACUCGGAGUACAUGCUACAUGACGAUAUAGGAUCCAUGCCCAUGAAGUUUGAUGCGGGGAGAGCUCGGUUGGAUGUAACUUCACUAUUGUUCAAACAUUGAGAAAUCGGGAAGACUAGAAAGUCGGUGCAGCCUACUGGUGGGAAAAGCAUUGUUUUAGAGUGAUAGUGCAAUUAGAAGUCACAUGUUGUAAUAGAUGAAAACAUUGUCUAGUGUUUUGGAAAUUCGUUUGUAAUGACAACGCGGUUCUUUCUUUUGUCUGUUUAUAUCAAAAAGUUCAUUAGUGUUUGGGGACUUUAUUACAAUGUUUUUCAGAAGUGUCACUAUAUAUCAUAUUUUGCUAUAUUGACAAUGUAUCGAGGACGAAGUCUCAAAAUUUAAUGGUUACCUGCAGCUUUUAGGAUUAUCACAGGUCACCAAUUUUUAGGAUUAUCUGCAGUUCACAGGUUACUGGUUACUGCAAUUUUGUCACAGGUCAAUUCCCAUUGUCACAAGUCACUGCACCCUUAUCACAAGUGGGUCACCGGUUACCUGCAGUUUUUAGGAUUAUCAUAGGUCACCGGUUUUUAGGAUUAUCUGCAGUUCACAUGUCACUGGUUAUUGUAAUUUGGUUACAGGUCAAUUCCCAUUGUCACAGGUCACUGGUUACCUGUAGUUUUUAGGAUUAUCUGCAGUUCACAGGCACUGGUUAUUGUAAUUUGGUCACAGGUCAAUUCUCAUUGUCACAGGUCACUGCACCCUGGUUACAGGUCAUUGUAUAUUGUUCACAGGUAUCUGUGUUAUGUUCACAGGUCAUGAAGAAUUAUCACAAGUCAAUCCAAUCUAGUCACAGGUUAUUGAAGAUUUGUUAUAGAUCAUUUCAUACUUUUAUCACAGCUAAUUGCAACUGAACCACUUCCAUUUCCUGAGUCUUUGCAAUAUGUAACUGGUCAUCUUUUGUUGGUCACAGUUUAGCUUAUAUUUGUCAAAUGUCAUUGGAUAUUGAUCGUAUGUCACUUCAUCCUGGUCACAUGUCUUGAUAAAUGGCCACAGGUCUCUGCAUAUUGGUCGCAGCUCAUUGACAUCUAGUCACAGAUCAUUUCAUAUAUUCGCAGUUGAUUGCACAGGGAUCACAGGUCACUGCAUUCUGGUCAUAGAUCAUUAUAUGUUGGUCACAAGUCACUGCAUUCUGGUCACAGAUCAUUAAUAAUGAUUAUAGUUACUGCAUUCUAGUCACAGGUUAUUGUAGAAUGAUCAGAGAUCAUUUCAUAUUGGUUACAGUUAAUUCCAUGUUGGUCACAGUUCACUGCAUGACGAUUGCAUAUCAAUUUUUCCUAUAGAUUUUCUCAUAUGUGCUAGUGGUCACACAUUCGUGCCGAACAUCCAAAGUGCAUUGCAAAAAAUCUUAGCAUUGUAUUGGUUAUGAUAUGGUCAAUAUGUGUCAUCCAAUGUUGUACAUCCUACAUUUACAAAAAAUCAAUGAAUGAAAAAAAAGAGGGAAUUAUAAAAAAUAUAUCAAUGUGUAUUUCCAGUCUUCAUUCUCUUCCUCUCUUUAUUCUUGUUGCUUUGACUCAACGGAACUAAGCUGUUACAUGUUCUACGAUUGUGAUCACUUUCACCACACCGGCCACAUUUGACGGCUAUGUUUUCCUCAUACGCUGGUCUGAAUCUCUUCUCAGUAGGCCUUCCACAACUUUGCUUUUGAUUAGGUGCAAUUACAACUAUGUUAUGGACAUCAUUUGGCACUAUCCAUUCAGCUAGAUUUCCUACAGGAAAAAUGGUUUCUUGGUAUGUAUUUCUGAAUGCUUCACUUGUGUAGUAGUAGGAGCAGUAUUCAUAUGGAUCCAUCUUCAUACUCGUAAACACAGUCAAAGCAUGUGGACCAUGUAGUUGAUUAACUUGAAGCAUCCUACAUGUGCAUGUCCGGUUUUCUAUAUCAACAACGAAAGAGGAACUUUCACCGUUAACUGAGAACAUUGCCUGAUUAUUAGGGAAAACCUACAGAUAUAGACUCAAGUUGUAGGCAUAAUAAGUCACGUAAUUAAAAAGUAGGACACAGAUGAAAUUGCAUGUCUUGUAGUUAUAUAUAAUAUUGCACAAAUACUGAAACACAACAGUACAGAUCACAGCAGAAGUCAUAGCACAUGUCACAGAUCAGUUCAGGGAAGUCACAGAUUAUAGAUUAGGUCACAGUAAUUAAGUUUAGCCUCAAGUUUCUCAUAUAUGUACCCAUUUCCCUCAUCUUCUUCUUAUACUUGCUUAACAAGGUUGUAAAAGUGCCUUUGGUGUACUCCUUGUGUCUGCAGAACCAAGAUUGUAAAAUUUAUCUCAAUGACUCCAACAAAGCUAGAAUAGGGUAGUUCUUGGCAAACUUUGCGACUGUAUUAACCGAAUCCACAAUAUUCGAUGUUAUUGUGAAAUACCGAUUUGAAGGCAUGUGGAAACGUGACCAUCUCUCAGGUCCAACUUCGUCCUACAAACAAAAACAUGGAAAUGUGUAUCAUAUAGUGUACAGUACCAUGUUAAACGUAUUUAUGUGAAUAUCAUCAUAGGACAAUGUAUAGUAUAGUACCAGAUAACCCCUUAUCUUUUCAUUAAUCGAGCCGAGUUGUUGCAUGUAAUAUUCAUAUUUCAAUAGUGUGUAGGCACGUACAGCUGCAUUGAAUGCUUUUGUUAUGUUUUGUCCUGAUCUCCCAUACCGUGAUUUUAGAUUUUGUAGUAGAUGGUACGAAUAUAUCCCAUGACAUGCUCCCGGAUACACGUUUUCAAUCUCCUUUUUAUGCUAUUGUGACGAUCCGACAUGAAGCACAAACCGUCUCUGUCCCCAUUUGCUUUCCUUAACUGUCUAAAAAACCAUGUUCAAGAGCUGUCAUUCUCAUUAUCCACAAUCCCGAAAGCAAGUACAUAAAUGCUGUUAUUUGCAUCUUGUGUACAUGCCGUGAAUAAGGUGCCAUCAUAGUGUCCAUUUAGAUAGAUGUCAUCAACCAUAACAACUGGCUUACAAUGUUUCCAUCCCCGUAUAGAUGCACCUAGUGCCAUGAAGCAAUAUUUAGACCUAUUGUGACCAUUAAUUUCUAGAUUUGUGAUUGAUCCAGGAUUUGUUUGUUGUAGCAUAGAAAAAAGGCUGGUAUCUUAUUGAAUGAAUCAGUUGGAUCACCCCUUAGCACUUUCAGAGUUUCCUCUCGAGAUCGCCAAGCUUGGACAUAAUUCAAAGAUACUCCAUAUGUAUGCAGCAUGUCGUUGCGUAUAUCAUUCAGUGUGUAUAUGGUGCGCGAUGAUGUGUACUUGUACUUAAUGCAGGUUGACACAACUGUCUUUGUUACUUGCCUAUGAGUACUGAGUACGAUGUUUGAAGCACAUAUGUGACCUUCUGCAAUGUGUCUGAUUUUAAACAUAUCUGUUCUAGCUAACUUCGAUGCUCUACAUAUCUAAUUACACUCGUCACGUGAACAUUUUACGAGAUAGUCUUUCUUAUCGGACCGAACAACCACGUACUCAAACAUGUUUUGGAUUGCAUAAAACGACAAGCUUAAUUUCAUUAUCUCCUUGUUACGGAAGACUCUUCAUUCCUCUACCUCCCUAGCGUCUGCCACAGCCACAACUGUGACCUCAUACUCAAAAUUAUCACUAGAUGGAUCCAUUAUUGCUCCAGAUAUGUCUGAUGACAUAUCUGUUAAUAAAAACCCAUGUUCGUUCGAUUGAACAUCAACUGAUAGCGCAAUAAGCUGUUUUUCGAUAUCUGCAGUUGUGACCUCGAUGUGAAUUGGAUAUUUGGCAGGGUCACAACUCAUAUCCUUUAAAACCAUGUAAGACAAGACAUUCUCGUCACUUUUGAUUGCUAUUGGAAGCAGAUCACUAUUCAAGACAUACUUCAUUGUCACAGCAACUUUUGCAGGGUCAAAGCUAAACUCUUUCAUAGCUGUGUCGACAAGCCUCAAAUACCCGCAACUACGAUCAAUUAACACCAGUGACACUUGUGAUCCAUUCAACAGACACACGUAAAUUAACCCCAUUUCUGAAAAAUUAGCAAAAACAUGAUCAGCCUAACAUCCAAUUAUAGUUACAUCUAAUUGCGUAUGGGUCAAAAUUACUUUAAUGGUCAAAUGUCACAAUAAACAUAUCUCGAUUCUCAAGUAUCAUUGUCAUGUAUUGAAUACAUGUAUGUCACAUAUUUUUAUUUCCCAGAUUUUUUUUACGAGAGGUCACAGAUCAUUGCAUAGGUCACAGUUUGGUCACAGUUAAUGGCAUGUCGGUCACAAUUCUGUUAAAUGAUCACAAGUCAAAGCAAACACAUGUCGUAUCUUGAACGUCAUGGUCACACAUUGAAUACAUGCAGGUCACAUAUACGUAUUAAAUCACAAUUACAUGCAAUAAUCAGCCACAGUAACUAAGUAUAGAUCUGUCGCAUAUAAUUAGAUUCAAAUAAGAGCAUUAGUAUCAUAAAACACAGAUGCUGUAUGUUACACGUCACACAUUUCGAGACACAAACACCCAUGCGUACUGAAUGCAUGAGGUUAUAUCUUGAAUCCAGGGUCACAUGUUUUCCAUAACGGUCACAACAGUUUCAAACAGUAAUGUUCGAUAUUCAUGAUCACAGUUCCGUCAAAAAUUACAUUUUUGAUCAAUCGAAGCUUGUCUAGCGUGAAUAAACGACAAAUUAUAAUGAAUAAAUCGCAAUUAUACACCUGAUCGAUGUAAUUACACGUCUGAAUAAUGUAAUCAGUGACUAUUCGAGACACCGUAUUUUAAUCCGACGUCAUACGACCCGCGGCUGCAAUUUGUGAUCAGAAUUCGGUUUCAUCGUCACUUUCGCAAGAGCCUGCGGUAAUUGGAUGUAUUUUCAGAUCUUCUGGCUAUUGGAAUCAGCUUGAGAGAUGAUUUAUUCUUUUUUUGGAGAAUCCUGAUUGUACAGUAUCUCAGCCUAUUUCUUCGGGAUUGUUUUCCAGAUGAAACUAUACUAAUAUUUAUAUUUAUUUUUAGGCUAAUUUCUGAUUCUUGAAAUAUGAUACUUAUUUUCUUGUUUUUGAAAUGUCCUGUACUUAAUUUCUUGUAUAGGAAAUUUUCCCUUUUUUUUUAGCUUACCAUUACCAACAGCCCAACUCAAGAGUAAACCCAAAAUCCAAUCCAAUAUAUCUGAACCCUCACCAAUCACACAUUCAAUGGCUGAUUUGUGAGAAUAGACGAUUACAAAGGCACGGUGACUUUGAAUUUUUCUCUCAGCCUCUCAUUGUCUCACUCUCAUCUUUGUGAGCCCUCGAUAUGGUGCCGCCUGCGUCACCUUUCUUUCAUCGAUGCCAUUAAUGGAAGCCAAAUCACAAUUACUUCAGUUUCAAAUUAUACCUCAAUGUCCUCCGUCGUCUCCGUAGGUUGCCACUGCUAUGGAGGUACACAUUUUGUUUAUAUUUUUUCUUUUUCUUUUAAAAUAGUUUAAGAUGGAGAAUCUGAUUUGCGGUGAGCUGUGGAGCCAGAGGGUUUUGUGCCUUCACUGUCGUGUGCUAGGUAGUGGGUGGUGAGAUUAUUUUUAGAUUUUGAUAGGAUUAGAAAAUCACGUUAUGGGAUUAUGAUUUAUUGCUCAAAUAUUGAAUGGGAUUCUGGGAAUAGGAUUUAUUGCUAACAUAUUCUAGUUCCUUUUAAAUAUUGAAUGGGAAUCCAAAAUGGGAUUAGGAUUUAGGAUUAUAUUCAAUCGAUGCUUCUAAGUCAAAAACUAAUAUAAAGAACUAGUUUAGUAAAUUUAUGUAUUUGCUUCUAAAACUUCCCACGGUUUUAAGAAAUGUUGGGUAAGUGAACGAAAAUUUCUAAUUUCCCUUUUGCUGGAACAAUAUGUAUAAUGCUUAGCCAUAUAUGCUAGUACAUAAAUUUCAUUUUUGCUACAACAAACAGAAAUAUUAUUUUUAGGUAUCAUCAGUAAACAACAAAAGAUAAAGACUGCUGCAAGUUAACAAUUACCUUAUUAAAUGGCCGAAAAUUGCAGCCCGUGCAGGAGAUAGACUCUUCCCUUAUUAAAAUACUUUUGAGGGCCACUAAAUUUAUUUUUACCAUUUACAAAUUUGGUUGUGUAAACAUGGCUUGUUAGUUGUUGGCACAAUAUUGAGAAGUAGUUGCCUUUGCUCUAUUUGGGUUAGAUAUUAUGCUACAACUCAAGCUCCCUGAUGGCCUCCCAUUUCUUGCUUACUUCUCUAUUUAAGUCGGGAUGAGACUUUUCAUGAGUUUCUUUUCUUCAUUCUAGGCUCAUAAGUUGUGAAGAAAUCAAGUUCAUUUCUUUCCCCACUUAAAUGCCUCAUGGCAGGCACGUUCUGCAAAAGUCCUGCACCUGGUGAACAACCAUUCGUGAAGGUAAUUGAUAUAAAUUUGAUGAUGGGAAAAGAAAAAAAUGAAGGUAGGAACGGAUUUGUAUUUUCAAAGUAGAUGUGUGUAUCAAUUUUUUUUUUUGUAUUUUUUGUAUACAACACAUGCUCAGAAGAAAUUAUUUUGUAAUUGGCUUUACCCCUAUUUAGACUAUUUCAAUGCUUUAUUUAUUCUUUCACGGUUCGAGGCUUCACAUCUCUCUGCGUUCGCAUCGUUACAUGGUUAUAUAAUCAUAAACUACAACCCCAUAUCUAUUGAUACCCUGAGUAGCUGCAUUUACGUGGUCAUGUUAUUCCAACAUCAUAAUUUAUUAGCUGCUAGAUGACACUAUAUCAGUGUUGACACUGUAAGUUAUCUGGUUUAAUCAUCAUUGGUUGAUGGCAUAAGUGAUAUACUAUUUUAAUCUUUCGUCACUUUAAAUGUGUCAUGAUUUUUCUUACAUUUGUCUACAGCCUCUGUUUUUUAUUGAACCAUAGAGCACGCAGAGUUAAAAGUGUGAUAUUAAGGAAUAAGAUGGUUUGUCUUACAUUUAAGGAGAGGUUUCAACAUGCUUUUUACUCACAGGGACGUGUUCUGUUGGGAAUGAGAAAUUGCAAUUGUUGAGAGCAAUGAGGGUUGGGGUAAGCAGCACGACACUAAAAUUUGGUACAAGGCCAUCUUGAAAUAUCAUUAAUUUCAAUUUGAAUUAGAAGAAGAGAAGUUAGUUAUGUUUUUCAAUAGCGUGCAUGCAUUUUUACAUUAUGUAUUCAAGUGAAUACGGCAAAUAAUGUGAUAAAUUUUUCACUAACUUAUGACUCGAUAUCUUUUUACAAGCACGUGUUAUUGAAGACAACUCUAUGUACAACUCGAUUUUUUCAUAUUAUAUCAUGCUAAAACUAAUUGUCCAUGUCACAAGAUACAAAUGGGAACUAAAGCGGCAGGUUUUGGGUAUAUAACCAAGGGACAACAUGAAGAUGGUUUAUGGAGAAUCCUCUUAAACAUUUUGGAGUUCACAGCAUUCCAAAAGUUCAACGAUUUACCAAGUCAAAGACCAAUCUCAUGAAAGGAAAUUCAAUUUCGACUAAAAUAGCAACUUACCGAACUGACCAAUGAAUUCGUUGCCAUUUUAAGCGUCAUUGAUAACGUUUUACUUUUACCAACGAAACUUCUAUUUUUAAACAUCUUUCCAUUACCAACGGAAUGUCCAUUGGUAAAAAAACUCAUUAUUUCCAACAGAAAUUCCGUUGAUAAAAGUCUUUCUUUGCCAACAAAAUUUUUGUUGGUAAAAACCUUGUAAUUGCAAGCGGAAAUUUCGUUGGUAAAAAUCUUUUCACCACCAACGGAAAUUCCAUUGGUAAAAACCUUAUAAUUGCCAAUGAAUAUUCCAUAUUAUCAACAGAAUAUUUGACCAACGAACUAUCCGUUGCUGAAAUUAUUUUCUAAUAUAGCUUCAAUACCAACAAAUGGUAUUUUUGUUGGUGAAUCUUAAUUUAUUAUUUUUUAAUGAAAAUAACUAAAAAUUUAAAAACCCACUAAUUAAUAAUCAUUAAUUUCAAAAUGCACUAAAUAAUCGAAAUUGUCAAAACACACUAAAGCUUUAAUAAAUUAAAUUAUUACAUUGAAAUUUCAAAUAUCAUGUCUUACAUAUCAUCAUUUCGUGAUCUCGAACUAAAAGGAAAUUGAAAAUUAAGAAUAUUUAGUUCCCUAAGCAUGCUUCCCACCGUUUCUUACAUCUCAACCUUGUGAUUUCUUUCAACUCAUUCAAAACGGACAAUGAAGUCAUCAAUCCUUUCGUUGUUCUCAUCUAUUAUAUUUCGUGCAAUUGUAAAUUCACACAACAUUUUUCAGAUCAUUCUUGCUUCUGACUUGAGCAUCAAAGAGCAUACCCCGAUAUAAUCAAGCAUUAAUUUGUUGAACUUCUAUUUGUUUCAUAGAUAUAUAGCUUGUCACGUGUACAACUAUUAGAAAGAAAACCCAUACACUUCCUCAUUGACCAUGCAUAUCCUCCUAGGAAGGAUGAUGUAAAGUAUGUGGCAAAUAAAGAUCUAUUCAUUGUAACGAGUUACUAAACCCGAUCUAUUUGCUCCUACAAAGACUCAUACAAUAGUAUACUAAUGCUAGUGAUUUCCUAAAUCUAUGCUCCGACAAAGGCUCAUAUGGUAAGUCUACUGAUACUAGUUAUUUCCUAACCCUUUCAUGCUUGUCUCAUAAAUUAUAACAAGUAGAAAUGUAAUUCCUCUAUCUUCAAGUAUUUAUAACUAGGGUUAGUCCUUUCCUCCAAGCACCAGCAGCUAGAAUUUCUAUUUUAGAAGUUCAUACGUUCUCACUUAUAGAUUAUGCAGUCUAUAUAAUAUACAUUCUUUAUCUUAUUCUUUAUUUUUCAACUAUCUCUAAUAACCCAAAUGGUCACUGAACUUUGCAAAAAAAAAAAAAAACUUCACAAGGUCACUGAAUAUUAAACAUCAUCCAAGUUAUCACUGAACUUUGCAAAGGUUUUACACGGGGUUAUUGAACUUUAAAAAUCACUCAAUUUAUCACUAAGCUUUGCAAAAUAAUUUCACGGGGUUACUAAACUUUGCGAAAAAUUUCCAGGGGACUUGGGAAACUUUUUUCAAAGUUUAGUAAUAAAUGGGAUAAUUUAUAAAGUUCAGUGACCUCGUUGAAACAUUUUGCAAAUUUCAGUGACCCCGUGAAAAUCUUUUGCAAAGUUCAAUAAUAAUUUGGAUUAAUUUUUAAAGUUUAGUGAUCUCGUAAAUUUUUUUUGUAAAGUUCAAUGACCAUUCGGGUUAUUAACUCUCUUGUCCUUAGUUUAUCAAUAUUUCAUGCUAGUUAUUAUGUGAAUUUCGUAACUCAACUAAAUACUGAAGUAGACAACAGAUCAGCGAGCAUGUACGAUAGAAGUACAUAUUAUUCUACCUAAUUCUACUACAGAAAGUUAAUCAUGAUGUUCUUGUUCAAUAUCUGAAGAAAUAGUAAUUUACCAUUUUGGUAAAAAUAGAAAUAAUAGCUGGUUGCUCAUUUCAAUCAAAAGAAACUAUAAAUAAGAAAAGGCCACUAAAAAGAGUGAUAUGCCUUAGGACUGGUAACAGCUAUACAUUAACAACAACCAGAAAAUCUUCCCACCGCCCUUUAAAGGGCAAGCAACAUUCUUCUCAAUAUUCAGAAUAAUUUAUAUAGUAUAAGCUUGAGUGGCAACAAGGAAGAUAUGCAAUCCGACGAACUUCUAGGAAAAAAAUUAUUCAGAAAAAGCUGAACCACAAGGUUCUUUAAGUUGUUGCCACUAACCUGCAACUUUUACAUACUUUUGAAGCUUUCAUAUAUGUACAAUAUAUUGGAAGUUGAAUCACAGAAACACCUUAUACAUUCUUUACUCUAAAUUUCAAAAGAAAAGAAACCAACAACCACAGUCCUUCAAAAGCACAUCCAUUGAGAUAAUAGAAAUCAAUAAGCAUCAACUCAUUUAACAAAAUCAAGUGCAUGGUACAAUUAAAUUGAACCACCAAAAUGUUCGUGGCCUUUGGCUAAUUAAAUAAGAAAUCAGAUAUCAAUAACUAUCAAGAUUAAGGGUGAAUGUUCACAAAUUUCAGCAUAUAAAGUGUUGGGUUUUUGAUACCCUAUAAAUUCGGGUUAUGAUAUUAACGUGGGUUAAUAUUAUUUCAUAUGUAUAAGUUGAUGAAUGAAAUAGUCCAACAACCAAGUCCAUGAGCUACACCCAGCCCAAUUGUAUUCUCCUUUAGAUGACUUGAAUCUUGUCUCGUUUACCUCUUUAAUGGUCCAACUUAAAGCCUAACCCUAGAGUAUAUAUAUGACUAUAAUCCUAGUCACUUUCUUAUGAUGUUUUGUGUGGUUUUCUAAGAAAAAUAAAUGAAUCCCGGCUGUCCCCUUUGUGUGUGAAAAAACAGCCUCUAGAAGUGUCCAAAACGCUUUUUUACUUUGUGUAAUUGGUGGUUCAUUCAUAGCAUACAUUUGUGGUGUCUUCUCCUAACCUUUGUGGUCACAAAUCAUCAUCUUUUCUUGUCCUCUGUGAGUAAGAUUGAAUAGCAACCGAGGUGAAUUAGAUUGAUUGUGGUUUGGAGCCGAUUGGAUUGGUUGUUGGUAGAGAAAUGUAUGUUGGAUUGAGUCCGAAAAUCACUGAUUUGAAGAUCAUUUGAGAGAGCUUCGACAACACUUGAUAUCACAGCUUCAAGGUGGUGGUUUUGACUUGUGAAACAUACCAAAAAGUCUAGAAAUCUUAGCAGAAAUCAGAUCGAAGAAGCUGUCCGAAAAUUAUCAAAAUCAACCUCUGUUUUUCGCGUUUUCUGAUCAAUUCAGAAGUAGUUUGGGGAAACGAAGACCACUGACGUGACGUGCAGGUGGAGAUGAACCCUGCAGGGCAGUGUGUCUCAAUGGCAACGACGCUUGAAGCCCACACGCAGAGAAAGUGAGGGAGCGUGAGCUGGAAUCUUUAGACGGUCCCUUCAGGCAGUUUGUUCCUCACAUUAUUUUUGACAUUUUUUUUUUGUAGAAAGUUUUCUGUUUUAGAGUCUGCAGUAGAAUUUGGAUAGCGUUGUUCUUCGGGCGUUUGAAAUUUGAUCGUGAUUUCUUGGUUAUUGCAGUUUCUAGAGACUUUAGAACGAAUAGUGGUAGUCCUAAAGUGUUAAAUUCACGUGUCUCAUAAUUCAUGGACUCAGAUUGAUCAGCUCUGAUAAAUUGGCUGAAACUUUUACAUUAUCGCACUAGUAGAUCAUCGUGUGGGGUGAUCAUUAGAAUUGGGGGUUGUCAUUGCUUGAAAACCAUUGCUUGUGCUAAAAAAUUUAGGAAUUAUUUGCCCUAUUUGAAGUGUUGGAUUUAAUUGCAAGUUAAUAACCGUUUCUGUGUUUAAUUUGCUACAUUGCGUGAAAAUUUGAAUUUUUGUUAAUAUACCUUCGUGUUUGCAUUAAUUAUCCUAUUAGAACACAUGGACUUGACCUGUUCAAAUAUUCCCUUGAUCUAAGAUCGUGAAUCUUACAAAACCCUAGGAAUCUAGAACAGUGUAUAUUGCGGUCAUAGGAUAACUUUGUGUGACCUAUCUGUGUUUUUGAUUGUCCUGUUUUUCUUUAAAAUAUCUUUACACUUUGAAAUUGAAAUUUUUAAUGGAAAAGGGGAUUUUUCUAUUUAGCAACAAAAUAUGAAGGGUAUUUUGGUCCAACAAAAAGUUUCAAAAGUCAUAGAUGGCAAAUUUCCUACAAAUUUAACAGAAGCACAAAAAAUAAGAGUAUGAUGAACUUGUAUACUCUUCAAUUAUUUUACACAUGUCUGACACUGUUUUGAGAAAAGUUGGAAAACUUAAUUCCACAAAAGAAUAUUGAACAAAGUUGGAGGACUUAUAUUUGCUUAAGUCCACGCCUAAUAAGCUGUACCUGAAUGUUUUUUCAGCUUUAAAAUGGAUCAUUCAAAAGAUCUUGAUGACAAUCUGGAUGUUUGUAAUAAGUUAGUUUAAGUUAUUGUUAAUUGUGAUGAAAAUGUAUUUGAAACGUAUAAGGCUAUUAUCUUGCUUAAUUCCAUACGUGAUUCAUAUAAGGAAAUUAAGAAUGCAAUUAAGUACGGUAGGGACAUCUUAAUACCCGAGAUUGUCAUAGACUCACUUAGGAGUAAGGAGAUGGAGAUUAAAGCUAAAAAAGAGGAUAAGAGGAGUGGCGAGUUACAUAUGAAUAGGAUGAAGUUUAAUCAAAUGAAUUUGGGUAAAACUCAAGAUGAUAGUGAUUCGGGUAGUGACUCGAGUGAUGAGAGUAGUAAGAAGAAGGGCAAGGGAUGAGAUAAGUCUAAUGGUAGAAGGUGUUACAGCUGUGGUAAGUCUGAGCACUUUAUUAGGGAUUAUCCCAAGCAGAAAGAUAAGCUGAAGGGUAAGAUGAGAAGUGAGGCGAAUUUGGCUUUAGGGUCAAGUGAUGACCCUAGCGAGGUUUAUUGAGUGUAAACCUAGUUACUGCAUGUGCAUCUGUGUGUGAUCCUUUCUGCAUGUGUAUGAUUGUCUAAAUCUUGUUGCAUGAUUAUCUGUUACAUUUCAAUAUGUUUGAUAUGUGCUUUGCACGAGUUUGGGGCAAUAUGAUUACUUGGUGUAAUUGUUUGCAUGCAUAGUGGGUUAGGAUGCAUUUAGCAGUGUGUUGUACGUCUUUUAGUGAGGUGAAGUAUAGAUGCCUAGGGGUAUAUUGUGUUUUGUAUUAGGGAUGUGGAGUGUGACAUUUGGAUCACGAGUAGAGAUGUGAUUAAAUUUCUAGAAUCCUUUAUCAGUAAAGAGACCCUGAUUAGGUGGAAUGUGAGAGAGAUACUUCUAUCACUUCUGUUAGGUGGAGACCCAUUAUCCACGUAGGUUGGGAGAAGUGAUGUGGAGAUAGAGGAUUAUCUCGUGGACUUAGGAUCUAUUGCGACCUACUAGUUAGAUAUGAGUUGAGUGAUUAGUCUUGUGAGCUUGGUGGGCAAUGAGAGGAGAUAUAUGUUCUCGAGGUGUAAGUAACACUGAAUGGAAUAGGACAAAUGCUGUGAGAUCUUUUCGUAGGGUCAUUUUUGCAUGUAUUGGAUAUGUGGUUGACCGUGGUUUGAUUGACUUAGUGUUAAUCUAUGGUUCCAUGUGAACGUGUUUUUGAAAAGAUCUAUGUAUAUUAUCCUAUAGUAUAUCGUCAUCGUAUGUGUAUUUAUUCUUGAUUGUUUACUAUUAAAUAUUUGCUUCUAUUUGGGUGUUUUUUUACCUUAGUCCCAGUGAGUACAUGGACCAGGUAUGAUAUGUGUUUCAGGAUGGAAACACAAUGUAAGGUCUCUGAUCCAAUUUUAUUGGCUACCUUGAUUAUGCAAGUGCUAACUGUGUGUUUUAAUUGCUAGCAGAUUUAUUGGGCAACAAGAUAAAGAUUUGUUGGGUUUUUGAAACCCAAUAAAUCUCGGGCUAUGAUGUUAACGUGGUUUAAUAUCAUUUCAUAGGCAUAGACCGAUGAAUGAAAUAAAUCCAACAACCAAAUCUAUGAGUUACACUCGGCCCAAUUGUAUUCCCUCUUCGAUAGCUUAAAUAUUGGCCCGUUUACUUCUUUAAUGGUCUAACUUAAACCCUAACCCUAGAGUAUAUAUAUAUGGCUAUAACCCUAGCCAGUUUCUUGUGAUAUUUUGUGUGGUUUUGAGAGAAAAAUAAAGGAAUCCAGGCUGCCCCCUUUGUGUGUGAAAAAACAGCCUUUAGAAGUGUCCAAAACGCUUGUUUACUUUUUAUAAUUGGUAGUUUCUUCAUAGUAUACUUUUGUAGUGUCUUCUCCUAACCUUUGUGACUGACCACAAAUCAUCAUCUUUUCUUGUUCUACGUGGUUAAGAUUGAAUAGCAACCGAGGUGAAUUAGAUUGGUAGUGGUUUGAAGCCGAUUGAAUUAGUUGUUGAUAGAAGAAGGUACGUUGGAUUGAACCUGAAAAUCAUCGAUUUGAAAAUCAUUUGAGAGAGCUUCCACAACAUAAAGCCAUCUGUGGAGAAUCCUAGAGCCACGCCAAUGGCCAACAGAGGCCAACGAACAUUAAUGGGUGAACCAUCACGCCAAGGGAAUUUCUGAAGUCAUGUUUCCAGAAAAAUAUAGUUAGUGGCAUUAGAGUUGCCAAAGUAUCAUUUCUAAUUUAAUGGAACAAUUUUUUCAUGACAAGUGUACAUGAGUAAUAAAUGGCAUUCGACUUACUUUAAUCUGCAAAAUUUAUUUAAAAAAAAAAAAAUAUUCAUUCAAAAUUUCAAAUCCAAAUCCAAAUUAGUGUCUCGACAUAGUAUUGUCUCUGGAGCAGGCUAACAGCUUUUCUCUUUGAGCGUGUUUGAGUAGUAUGAAGACUUGUUGAAAUAAGUGAAUGAUGAUCUUCAAAUUCUUUGAUUUAUAUUUGUUCAUUAGUACUGUUUAAUCUCUACAAGCAGAAAAAUUCGACUUGAGCAAGACUUUAUCCAAGUUCGAGUUUAGGUCAUGUUCACUUUAAACCUACAACAAACCACCUAAGUCUAUCUUUUCUCAAUAUUUAAUGUUGAUUCUUCUUAACGAAGUGUGCUCCUUUUGAGGGAUUCUAAUGUAGUCUUGGUUUGUAGAUGACAACUGUCAUAUUCUCGCUAGUCUCCGUGGCCUAUUGUCGGCCCUCUUUCCAUGUAAUCACAUUUCACCCUUAAAACUUUUGUGUAUUACAUUCACGACCGACACAAUUUUAUUAGCAAGUCUAGUAAAUUUUACCAUAAUGAGUUUUUGGUAUGUACUCUGGAAAAUAUUUUUGAAAUAAGCAUAUCAUAGAUUUAAAGGAAUUCAAGUUCUUAUCAAUACUAUUUUAUGACCAAACAAAAAGUUUACUUAACGGUACUUAGUAUGGAUUCUUGAAUGAUGGAAGAGUUCCAAUUUAGCUAGUAAUUAUGUGUACGUGUUCAAUAAUGAGACUUUUAGUACUAAUUUUAUUGUUGCAGUUUCUUUAACCCUUUGUCAUCUUAAAUUAAAGCAAGUUCACUGGGAAAAAAAAAUACCUAUAUUUGACACUCGUUUAGAAAAAUGAAAUGAUCACUCUACUAGAGAAGUUAGAGAAGACUUGAUGUCGACAUCCAUGGAAAUAUUGUUUGUACUACUCAAACAAAACCCAAAGAAAGAAAUAGGAGCUUUUUUCCUAACGAAUUGGCAAUACAACGUUAAAACACUUACUUGAAUUUGGAUCUCACUAAAAAUUCUUAUAUUGUCGACUUGAGAAAGGGCACCAAUAAUACAAAAUGCCAUUUAUGAUGGUGGUACUAAAGUUGGUUUAGAGGCCAGCAAAUAAUUAAUCCCGCAGCCAUGCAAUAAAAAGACUUGCGUACACUUGGCUUGACAACAGUGAAACAUUAAUCUAGAAACUGAAAAUGGGGCGCGCUCUAAUGCCACUGAACUGCAUUUUUGUUGAAAAUUUAGCACGAAUUCUUGAAACGUAAGCAAGAAUUAUUACAGCAUUAAAUUGAACCCAACUAACAACCAUCCAUAAUCCAAUCAAUAAGUGUCACAUUCUUCCCUGACACUGGAGCUCUCUUCUAUAUAAACACCAUAAUUGGCAAGGUAUUUUACACACAAAUCAAAAUAUUGUUCAAGUGCUAGAAAGAACUGAUUUUUCCUUGUAUUUCAUAUUAUCUUUUGCAAUGGCUUCCUCUAGAGUUGUGAAAGCAAUGUGCUUGGUGCUGAUCGCCGUUUUCCUGCCGGCACCACUGGCUGAGGCGGCAAUCACAUGCGGCACGGUUGUGAGUAGCCUGGGACCAUGCCUCCCCUAUGUGCGGGGUAACAGUCCUAUAGUGCCGGCUGGCUGCUGCAAUGGAAUUAAUUCUCUCUACGUCUCAGCCAAAACCACACCGGACCGCCAAUCCGUGUGCUCCUGCCUGAAAUCUCUCGCUGGAACUUACAAGGGUAUCGACAUUGGCAAGGCCGGUGGCCUCCCUGGAAAAUGUGGUGUCAAUAUCCCCUACAAGAUCGCCCCUUCCACUGAUUGCUCCAAGUAUUUUUCUCUCUUAUAUUUAAGUUCAAUCAUUUCAUUUAAAAAAACUUAAAAUUUUUAAUUCAUAUUUGUUACGUUACAUGGUACUUGAUACGACUUCAUAGUAAUAUAAACAAGAUUUUAACUUCUUUUCCUUAUUUAAUAAAGUCAAUUGUUGAUGUUCAACAAAAAAAUUAAAAAUUAAGAAAAAAAACUUCAUGUUCUGUCUAACUAGACAAUUAUUUAUUUGUAGCUUAAAACGUUUAUUUGUGUGAUGGAAAUUGUGGUGCAGGGUGCAGUAAUUUCAUCGCGAAUGGAGUUUCCUGCAGCGGCUUAUAUAUCAUAUGUAUGUUUAUGAACUAUAUGAAU
Molecule: long non-coding RNA, 26726 nt
Filed under: Olea europaea (common olive)
Lineage: Eukaryota; Viridiplantae; Streptophyta; Magnoliopsida; Lamiales; Oleaceae
Description: long non-coding RNA (OEUR_LNC011526)
Source: RNAcentral